UUGGAGGGCAAGUCUGGUGUCAGCAGCCGCGGUAAUUCCAGCUCCAAUAGCGUAUAUUAAAGUUGUUGCAGUUAAAAAGCUCGUAGUUGAAUUUCGGGGUUCUACCGUUGGUCGGGCUUUGUCUGUACUGGCGUGUAGAAUUUCUACCUUCUGGGGAACCAUCAUGUUAUUAAUUUAACGUGGUGGGAAACCAGGACCUUUACCUUGAAAAAAUUAGAGUGUUCAAAGCAGGCUUAUGUCUGAAUACAUUAGCAUGGAAUAAUAAAAUAGGACGGUGGUCCUGUUUUGUUGGUUUCUGAAUCACCGUAAUGAUUAAUAGGGAUAGUUGGGGGCAUUAGUAUUCAAUUGUCAGAGGUGAAAUUCUUGGAUUUAUUGAAGACUAACUUCUGCGAAAGCAUUUGCCAAGGAUGUUUUCAUUAAUCAAGAACGAAAGUUAGGGGAUCGAAGACGAUCAGAUACCGUCGUAGUCUUAACCAUAAACUAUGCCGACUAGGGAUCGGACGAUGUUAAUUUUUCUUGACUCGUCGUUCGGCGCCUUACGGGAAAC
RNAcentral lists this ribosomal RNA (547 nucleotides) under Scutellospora sp. ssScugrep1. Its description in RNAcentral is "SSU rRNA". It matches the Rfam family "Eukaryotic small subunit ribosomal RNA", at positions 548 to 1098 of the family's 1831-position model. The record is from RNAcentral. Lineage: Eukaryota; Fungi; Glomeromycota; Glomeromycetes; Diversisporales; Gigasporaceae.